AGAGUUUGAUCAUGGCUCAGAACGAACGCUGGCGGCGUGCUUAACACAUGCAAGUCGAGUGCGCGUGCCGUAGCAAUACGGUAUGGCGCACGGCGCACGGGUGCGUAACACGUGGGCAAUCUGCCCUCCGAUGGGGAAUAACCCCGCGAAAGCGGGGCUAAUUCCGCAUAACAUUCCCUGGACUCCGGUUCGGGGAUUCAAAGCAGCAAUGCGUCGGAGGAGGAGCCCGCGCCCGAUUAGCUAGUUGGUGAGGUAACGGCUCACCAAGGCUAUGAUCGGUAGCUGGUCUGAGAGGAUGGCCAGCCACACUGGAACUGAGACACGGUCCAGACUCCUACGGGAGGCAGCAGUGGGGAAUCUUGCGCAAUGGGCGAAAGCCUGACGCAGCGACGCCGCGUGGGGGAUGAAGCUUCUCGGAGUGUAAACCCCUUUCGACCGGGACGAAUGCCCGCAAGGGAGUGACGGUACCGGUAGAAGAAGCCCCGGCUAACUACGUGCCAGCAGCCGCGGUAAGACGUAGGGGGCCAGCGUUGUUCGGAGUUACUGGGUGUAAAGGGUUCGUAGGCGGUGUGGCAAGUCGGGAGUGAAAUUUCUGGGCUUAACUCAGAAGCUGCUUCCGAAACUGCUGUGCUGGAGUGUGGGAGAGGCGCGUGGAAUUGCAGGUGUAGCGGUGAAAUGCGUAGAUAUCUGCAGGAACACCCGUGGCGAAAGCGGCGCGCUGGACCACUACUGACGCUGAGGAACGAAAGCUAGGGGAGCAAACAGGAUUAGAUACCCUGGUAGUCCUAGCCCUAAACGAUCAGGACUUGGGGUGCCACCCGUUCGGGUGUCGUCCCGGAGCUAACGCGUUAAGUCCUGCACCUGGGGAGUACGGUCGCAAGACUGAAACUCAAAGGAAUUGACGGGGGCCCGCACAAGCGGUGGAACAUGUGGUUCAAUUUCGAC
This 945-nucleotide ribosomal RNA is filed under the name uncultured bacterium. RNAcentral describes it as "bacterial SSU rRNA". It matches the Rfam family "Bacterial small subunit ribosomal RNA", at positions 8 to 955 of the family's 1533-position model. The record is from RNAcentral.